CCAUGCAUGUCUAAGUAGCACCUUAGCUGUAAUAGCAAUAAACAAAAGUGAAACCGCAAACUGCUCAGUAAAACAGAAAUAAUGGAAGAGAAUGUAGCCAUUGACUUGGAUAACUGUGGCAACUCUAGAGCUAAUACAUGCAAUCAAUGUACGGCAUCCUCUUUAUUGAGGUACGUGCGCACUUAUUAGAUAGCCAUAUAACCAAAUAUGUAAUAUAACAUUAUUGGCGGUGAAACUAGAUAAUUGCAGAUCGCAGUAGUCCUCGACUGGCGACGUUUCUCUUACUGUUGUUUCUAACCUAUCAAACUCGUUGGCCAGAAAUGGUAUUACCAUGGUAUUAACGGGUACAGGGAAUCAGGGUUCGAUUCUGGAGAGGUAGCCUUAGAAAUCGCUAUUACAGCUAAGGAGGGCAGCAGGCGCGCAACUUACCCACUCCUUGAUCCGGGGAGGUAGUGACAAGGUCUGAUAAUUCAGAUCUCUAGUAUGACUUCUGCAAUUGGAUUAAAUGUCAAUUAAAUACAAUAAGAUAUAUGUUGGAGGGCAAGUCUGGUGCCAGCAGCCGCGGUAACACCAGCUCCAAAAGCGUAUAUAUAAAUUGUUGCAGUUAAAACGUUCAUGAUUUUUGGCCCACUUUUUUCUCGAGUUGCUUUUGACCUACAGUGUAGGUAGUAGCUCUUGCGAGAAGUGUAUUAUUGAUGACGGGCAGACGCAAAUAUGUAGGCAGGGGGAGUGUGUGUGCGAGCGUGUGUGUGCGCGCGCGCUAAAUGAUGGUGGUGUGCGUCUGUUAACAUUGUCCUCCGGGGCGUGUUCUGCGUACAUCGAUAUUAUUUGGAAGCGCGCGUACUCUGCGAUCAAACACCAUUCCACCCACGCCUAUGUACGUCUACCGUGCUGUGUUGAUACUCUUUAUUGAGUGUUGCGCAAACAUUGAUUGAUUACUUUGAUAAAAUCAGAGCGCUCAACGCAGGCUGUGCAUUGAUGCUGGACUGUUUUUAUAUAACAUAGAAUAUUGAAAGAAGACAGUACUUAUGAAUUUGGUGAUAGAUAACUGUAAUGAAUAAUAGGAGUAUGUUGGGGACACUGGUAUUGAGUGGUAAGGGGUGAAAUCCAAAGAAUUUUACACGACUCUCUACCGCUCUAGCAAGUGUCAAGUCUGCUCUGGUUAAUCAAGAGCGAGAGUUGAAGGUGCGAAGGCGAUUAGAUACCGCCCUAGUUUUAACCGUAAACAAUAUCAACCAGCAAAUAGGUAACGUUAAAAAUUGUUAUUUAGUUACCUAGAAUCCCUCGGAGAAAUUAGAGUUUUUCGAUUCCGGGGGAAGUAUGGUUGCAAAACUGAAACUUAAAGGAAUUGACGGAAGGGCACCACAAGGCGUGGAGCUUGCGGCUUAAUUUGACUCAACACGGGGAAACUUACCAGGUCCGAACAUAUGUUAGUAAGACAGAUUGAAAGCUCUUUCUCGAAUAUGUGGGUGGUGGUGCAUGGCCGUUCAUAGUUCGUGGAGUGAUCUGUCUGGUCAAUUCCGCUAACGAACGAGAUACAAACAUAAUAAAUAGAUGCUUGCAGACGUAUACUGUUGAUGCUAUAUAGUGUAUAUACUGUGCGUGUCCAUGCUCUCUGUUUGUGUGUGUUUUAUGUAUGUAUGUGUGUAUGUCUUGUACAUGCAUAUAGAAUAUAUAUAAUCGCAUAUUAAUGGUGGUGGUGUGGUAUGCGUAUGGGGUGAUGCAUUAUGUAGAGAAGGUAUACCUGCAAGUAGGUCUCAUGCCCAAAUAAGCAGAGACACAUGGCUUCUUAAAUGGACCAAUUGUAGAUAGCAAGAUGAGAUUGUGCGAUAACAGGUCUGUGAUGCCCUUAGAUGUUCUGGGCUGCACGCGUGCUACAAUGAAUGUAUCAAUGCGCAUCCCUUGAUUGUAAGAUCUGGGUAAACGGUUGAAUUACAUUCGCGCUUGGAAUUGUGGCACUGUAAAUGUUCUCAUGAACCUGGAAUGCCUCGUAAGGUUGGGUCAUGAGCCUAUCUUGAAUACGUCCCUGCCCUUUGUACACACCGCCCGUCGCUACUACCGAUUGAAUUGUAUAGCGAGGUCUUCAGACGUAAUUUAGAGACUGGCGCUUAUCGCGCAUCAGUCUCAUAGAUUAUGAAAGUUGAUCGAGCUAUAUAAUUUAGAGGAAGUAAAAGUCGUAACAAGGUUUC
RNAcentral lists this ribosomal RNA (2189 nucleotides) under Protaxymyia thuja. Its description in RNAcentral is "bacterial SSU rRNA". It matches the Rfam family "Eukaryotic small subunit ribosomal RNA". The record is from RNAcentral. Lineage: Eukaryota; Metazoa; Arthropoda; Insecta; Diptera; Axymyiidae.